AAUGUCAACAAUGGAUGCCUAGGCGGUUAUGGCCGAGGAAGGACGCUUGCAUACCAGCGAUAUCGCCGUUGAGGCGGCCAGCAGCCAGCGAAACGGCGGUUUCCGAAUCGAGCAAUCGCCCCGAUAUUACAUCGGGGAGGUAAUAAUGAAAGGUUCCGAUCUAAUCGGGACAAAUAGUUGUUACCGGGGCACCGGGCGAACUGAAACAUCUAAGUAGCCCGAGGAAAAGAAAUCAAUUAACGAGAUUCCGUCAGUAGCGGCGAGCGAAAGCGGAAGAGCCUAAACCCUUCGAUUCGACUUUGCUCCGCAAAGGCUCACUCAGGGCAAGCCCUGGGAGAGUCUAAAGGGGUUCACCCCGAGCGAGGCGAAGCCGAGUCGAGGGGGGUUGCAGGGUCUUGCACAAGGGAUGGGAAGCGGAUAGUAGAAUAUCUUGGAAUAGAUAGUCAUAGAGAGUGAAAACCUCGUAUACGAAAUCCAAAUCCCCCCUGCGAGAUUCCUAAGUACCAUGAAGCACGGCAAAACUUCGUGGGAAUCCGGGUGGUCCACCAUCCAAGGCUAAACACCAUAACCGACCAAUAGUGAACAAGUACCGUGAGGGAAAGGUGAAAAGUCCCCCGGAAGGGGAGUGAAAUAGUACCUGAAAUUGUUGACUAACAAACAGACGGAGUCCCGAUAAAAUCGGGAUGACGUCGUGCCUAUUGAAGAAUGAACCGAUGAGUUUCCGGUUAACGGCUAUAGUCUAAGUCACUUUGUGACGGAGACGCAGUGAAAGCAAGCUCUAAUUGAGCGAUUCUGUCGUUAACGGAGGACCCGAAACCGGGUGAGCUAAGCAUGGACAGGGUGAACCCCGAUGAAAAUCGGGGGGAGGCCCGAACCCGUUGUUGUUGCAAAAACAUGGGAUGAUCUGUGCUUAGGGGUAAUAUGCCAAUCGAACCCGGAGAUAGCUGGUUCUCCCCGAAAUAUAUUUAGGUAUAGCGGUCUGUUUAUAGAUCUUGGGGGUAGAGCACUGGAUGGGUUAUCGAGCUUACGCGAGAUAGCUCAAUCAAACUCCGAAUACCAGGAUUAUUACAGGCUAGUCAGUCCGGCUCGGCUAAGCGAGUCAGGUCGAGCGGGGGAACAACCCAAACUCCCAAUUAAGGCCCCAAAAUUUUGGCUAAGUUGUAAAGGAAGUAAGAUUUCCACGACACCCAGGAGGUUGGCUUAGAAGCAGCCAUCCUUGAAAGAGUGCGUAACAGCUCACUGGAUGAGAAGUUUUGCGCCGAAAAUGAACGGGGAUAAGCCAAGUGCCGAAAUUGGAGAUUCCGAUGCAAAUCGGGAUAGUAGGGGAGCGUUCCUGUUGCAGUGAAGCUUACGGUGUAAACCGGAGUGGAGCGGCAGGAAGUGAGAAUGUCGGUAUGAGUAGCGAGAGUCCGAUGAAAAUUCGGACCGCCGAAAGCCCAAGGUUUCCGUCCCAACGUUCAUCGAGGACGGGUUAAUCGGAUCUAAGGCGAGUCCCCGUUUAAUCGGGGGGUAGCUCGAUGUACAAGCCGUCGAAAUUCGGCUAUAGUUUUAAGUGUCUCCUAGGGGGUGACGAGAUUGGAGUAACAGAGUCCUGUACACACGGGAUUCAAAUUACAAGAUAGUGAUAAUCGGAAAAUCCAUUAUUGCGUUUAAUCAAGUAAUGAAUAAGAGUUCAAAGCCGCAAGGCUGCGAGCAAUUCUGUGAUCUUCAGUGUCCAAGAAAAGUCUCAUAGGGUUCCGAUUUAUCGGGACAAACGCUUAAAGCUUCCGUACCGCAAACCGACACAGGUGGGCUGGUAGAGUAUACUAAGGCGAUCGGGAGAAAACGGUUCAAGGAACUCGGCAAAUCAGCUGGGCGUAACCUAUGGGAGAUGCCCUUCCCGUCAGAAUGGUGUUUCUAAGACAUGUCUGCGUUAGAGAGUUUAAACACUUUCUAAAUUCAGGGUGAUUUUAGGACCAGCAUUCUGACGGGACGCAGCGAAAGACGCUAACCGACUGUUUAACUAAAACACAGGUCUCUGCAAAGCCGAAAGGCAAAGUAUAGGGGCUGACGCCUGCCCAGUGCACGAAGGUUAAGAUUUUUGGGUGAUCCCUGAUGCAAAUCGGGGUAAGCUUAGAACUCAAGCCCGUGUGAACGGCAGCAGUAACUAUAACUGUUCUAUGGUAGCGAAGUUCCUUGUCGGGUAAGUUCCGACCCGCACGAAAGGCAGAACGAGUUAGCGACUGUCUUGAGCCGUUACCCGGCGAAAUUGAAAUGGCUGUGAAGAUGCGGCCUACUUGCACCUGGACAAAAAGACCCCGUGGAGCUUUACUGUAGCUUGGCAUUGAGAAGACGUUUUUAACUGUCGAGAAUAGGAGGGACCCCCCGAUUUUAUCGGGGGGAACAGUGGAAUACCUCUCUUUGGAAUCGUUAACCCUAAUCCUUUGGCCGCACAAAAAACCGGCAAGGAGACAGUGUCUGGUGGGCAGUUUCGCUGGGGAGGUGGCCUCCAAAAAGGUAACGGAGGCGUACAAAGGUCGGCUUAUCCCGGAUGGAAAUCGGGAUGAAAGUGCAAACGCAUAAGCCGGCUUGACUGCGAGACAUACAUGUCGAGCAGACGCGAAAGCGGGUGUUAGUGAUCCUCGUUACGGCUGUGGUUGCCGUACGGGCUUAACGGAUAAAAGCUACCCCGGGGAUAACAGGCUGAUCGGGCCCGAGAGUCCAUAUCGACGGCCCGGUUUGGCACCUCGAUAGACUAGAGCAAAUUGUCGAGGUUAAAUUCGGCUCAUAACGGAGAAAGCCUAAUAUUUUGAACCCAGAAAAAAAAUUUGAAUAUUAGGUUAACACCGUGGGAAGUCCCGCAUUGUGCGGGACCCCGUAACGACUGAUGUCCCGAUUAAAUCGGGACUGAGAUGGAAUUCUCACAUUGAUCUUCCAUCAGACGCCGAACCCCGUACCAAAAGGUACAGGGAAGGUAUAGUCUACACCAUUAGUAAUAAUGGAUAUUGUGGUCGGCUCACCCUAUCCCGGGGCUGGAGAAGGUCCCAAAGGUCCGGCUGUUCGCCG
This 3045-nucleotide ribosomal RNA is filed under the name Candidatus Gottesmanbacteria bacterium RIFCSPHIGHO2_02_FULL_40_24. RNAcentral describes it as "bacterial LSU rRNA". It matches the Rfam family "Bacterial large subunit ribosomal RNA". Lineage: Bacteria; Candidatus Gottesmaniibacteriota. The record is from RNAcentral.